RNAcentral lists this signal recognition particle RNA (300 nucleotides) under Vombatus ursinus (common wombat). RNAcentral's name for it is "Metazoan signal recognition particle RNA (ENSVURG00010020010.1)". It matches the Rfam family "Metazoan signal recognition particle RNA". From Rfam's summary of the family: The signal recognition particle (SRP) is a universally conserved ribonucleoprotein. It is involved in the co-translational targeting of proteins to membranes. The record is from Rfam by way of RNAcentral. Lineage: Eukaryota; Metazoa; Chordata; Mammalia; Diprotodontia; Vombatidae.
GCUAAGCAUGGUGGUGCACACUUGUAGUUCCUGCUACUGGGAAGGCUGAGGCUGGUGGAUUACUUGAGCUCAGGAGUUUUGGGAUGCAAUAGACCUAAAAGGUGAUGUUGAGUCUGCACUGUUGGGUACCAACAUGGUGAGCCUGGGGAGCAAAGGGCUACGAGGCUGCUUAAGAAGCAACCAACCAGCAAUGAUUGGAAAUGGAGCAGGAAAAUGCUUCCGUGUCAGUCAUCAGUGGGACUGGACCCUAAGUUACCACUGCUCUUUCAGCUGGGGAAAGGUAGGGAGAUCCAGUCUUAA